RNAcentral lists this unclassified non-coding RNA (391 nucleotides) under soil metagenome. RNAcentral describes it as "partial contains 5.8S ribosomal RNA, internal transcribed spacer 2, and large subunit ribosomal RNA". The stretch from base 1 to 122 matches the Rfam family "5.8S ribosomal RNA", at positions 35 to 154 of the family's 154-position model. The record is from RNAcentral.
GAUGAAGAACGUAGCGAAAUGCGAUACUUGGUGUGAAUUGCAGAAUCCCGUGAACCAUCGAGUCUUUGAACGCAAGUUGCGCCCGAAGCCAUUAGGCCGAGGGCACGCCUGCCUGGGCGUCACACGUCGUUGCCCCCCCAUCUACUCCUUCGGGAUUGCGGGGGGCGGAUGAUGGCCUCCCGUGCGCCUCGUCGCGCGGUUGGCAUAAAUGCCAAGUCCUCGGCGACACACGCCACGACAAUCGGUGGUUGCGAAACCUCGGUUGCCCGUCGUGUGCGGUCGUCGCGCAUCGAGGGCUCGAAAAAAUUGCCGGGCUCCGGCUCGGCUUUCAACGCGACCCCAGGUCAGGCGGGGUUACCCGCUGAAUUUUAGCAUAUCAAUAAGCGGAGGA